AGUGAACGCUGGCGGUAGGCCUAACACAUGCAAGUCGAACGGCAGCACAGUAAGAGCUUGCUCUUACGGGUGGCGAGUGGCGGACGGGUGAGGAAUACAUCGGAAUCUACUUUUUCGUGGGGGAUAACGUAGGGAAACUUACGCUAAUACCGCAUACGACCUACGGGUGAAAGCAGGGGAUCUUCGGACCUUGCGCGAUUGAAUGAGCCGAUGUCGGAUUAGCUAGUUGGCGGGGUAAAGGCCCACCAAGGCGACGCUCCGUAGCUGGUCUGAGAGGAUGAUCAGCCACACUGGAACUGAGACACGGUCCAGACUCCUACGGGAGGCAGCAGAGGGGAAUAUUGGACAAUGGGCGCAAGCCGGAUCCAGCCAUACCGCGUGGGUGAAGAAGGCCUUCGGGUUGUAAAGCCCUUUUGUUGGGAAAGAAAAGCAGCAGGUUAAUACCCCGCUGUUCUGACGGUACCCAAAGAAUAAGCACCGGCUAACUUCGUG
This 492-nucleotide ribosomal RNA is filed under the name uncultured bacterium. Its description in RNAcentral is "partial 16S ribosomal RNA". It matches the Rfam family "Bacterial small subunit ribosomal RNA", at positions 29 to 507 of the family's 1533-position model. The record is from RNAcentral.